UACGAAGGGGGCUAGCGUUGCUCGGAAUCACUGGGCGUAAAGCGCACGUAGGCGGCUUGUUAAGUCAGGGGUGAAAUCCUGGAGCUCAACUCCAGAACUGCCUUUGAUACUGGCGAGCUUGAGUUCGGGAGAGGUGAGUGAAACUGCGAGUGUAGAGGUGAAAUUCGUAGAUAUUCGCAAGAACACCAGUGGCGAAGGCGGCUCACUGGCCCGAUACUGACGCUGAGGUGCGAAAGCGUGGGGAGCAAACAGG
RNAcentral lists this ribosomal RNA (253 nucleotides) under uncultured bacterium. RNAcentral's name for it is "partial 16S ribosomal RNA". It matches the Rfam family "Bacterial small subunit ribosomal RNA", at positions 524 to 776 of the family's 1533-position model. The record is from RNAcentral.